UAUUUGUGGAGCUCAGAAACCACUUAAAAACAACGAGGCGCAAUCCGAAAAGCCAAAAGAGUAGGAAGUAA
Aquimarina spongiae is the source of this 71-nucleotide regulatory RNA element. It matches the Rfam family "DUF805 RNA". NCBI's taxonomy places the organism in Bacteria, Pseudomonadati, Bacteroidota, Flavobacteriia, Flavobacteriales, Flavobacteriaceae. The record is from Rfam.